Molecule: non-coding RNA, 386 nt
Organism: Pelobates cultripes (western spadefoot toad)
Lineage: Eukaryota; Metazoa; Chordata; Amphibia; Anura; Pelobatidae
Source: the annotation of a GenBank genome assembly
GUAGCCAGCACUGUUUUUAAAAAAAAAAAAAUAUAUAUAUAUAUAUAUAUUUAUUUUUUUUUUUUAAUUGGGGUAGCCCCCAAAAUAUUGGGACAUAUAAAAAAGGACAACUCUGUUCCGCAGAGUAGCUGUUGACAUUAUAGUUGCACAGGCACUUUGUUGACUCUUGAGAACCUCGGGCCAAUCGCACAUCCCCGUGACGGUGACGUUGCAUUCAGAUGUCAUCCAUAUCUACAUUUGAUGCCAGUUUCUGCGCCUACCAUGGUGACCACGGGUAAUGGGGAAUCAGGGUUCCAUUCCGUACAGGGACCCUGAGAAAUGGCUACCACAUGCAAGGAAGGCAGCAGGCAGACAAAUAACCCACUCCCGACGCGGAAGGUAGUGAC